AGGAUAAACGCUGGCGGCGUACCUAAGACAUGCAAGUCGAACGGAUCAUAUGGUUUCGGCCGUAUGGUGAGUGGCGGACGGGUGAGUAACGCGUAGGAACCUGUCAUGAAGUGGGGGAUAACGCUGGGAAACCGGCGCUAAUACCGCAUGAGGUCGCAGCAAUGCGAAGAAAGCUUUUCGCGCAAGUGGAAGGCGCUAGAUGAGGGGCCUGCGUCCGAUUAGCUUGUUGGUGGGGUAAAGGCCUACCAAGGCAUCGAUCGGUAGC
Molecule: ribosomal RNA, 265 nt
Filed under: uncultured bacterium
Lineage: Bacteria
Description: partial small subunit ribosomal RNA
Rfam family: Bacterial small subunit ribosomal RNA
Source: RNAcentral